UACGGGGGGGGCAAGCGUUGUUCGGAAUUACUGGGCGUAAAGGGCUCGUAGGCGGCCAACUAAGUCGGACGUGAAAUCCCCAGGCUUAACCUGGGAACUGCAUCCGAUACUGGAUGGCUUGAAUCCGGGAGAGGGAUGCAGAAUUCCAGGUGUAGCGGUGAAAUGCGUAGAUAUCUGGAGGAAUACCGGUGGCGAAGGCGGCAUCCUGGACCGGCAUUGACGCUGAGUGAGCGAAAGCCAGGGGAGCAAACGGG
Molecule: ribosomal RNA, 254 nt
Filed under: uncultured bacterium
Lineage: Bacteria
Description: partial 16S ribosomal RNA
Rfam family: Bacterial small subunit ribosomal RNA
Source: RNAcentral